AUGUUGCCUACCCUGAUGGCAAUGAGAGAUGUUGUUGUCACCCAUGCCACCCGAUCAGCAAGUGUUGAAGUGGACGCUCUCGAGGUCAACCUAAACAAGGAAGAUUUCCGGUCAUCUGAUACGGAUUCCAAGCGUGUGACUGGUGGCACUUCUGUGUCCACGAAAGAAGGGGAUGCGACCACAUUUCAGAAUGAAAUGCCAUCCAUAGCUGACUCUCAUGUCACAACAGCUCCAGCGGCUGGUGGCCCAGAGUCUGCUACUGUUACCGUUGUGCGAUCUGGCCUGCCACCUAGGCGGUGUAGCCCCCGCAAGAUUCCUGCACAUGUAUCUAAUGCACCACAAGUAGUUAAGAGUAGCAGAGGUGACUCUGGUUAUGUGCCUGCUUCCACACUGUUCCCACCAUCUGCCAAAAGCAAUGUACCCGAUAAGACGGAAGUCAGUAGUACAACAGAUGCAGCUGGUAAGCCGUGCGCUACUGAAGGAGGUGGACGUUCAAAGUAG
This 501-nucleotide ribosomal RNA is filed under the name Triticum aestivum (bread wheat). Its description in RNAcentral is "partial small subunit ribosomal RNA". The record is from RNAcentral. Lineage: Eukaryota; Viridiplantae; Streptophyta; Magnoliopsida; Poales; Poaceae.